GAGAAUUAACCCUUGUCCUGAAUCCUACAUCACAACAACCCAAGGAUCUAGUAGUUAGAGGAGGAGGAAAAAAUGUUUAACUGUGUAGCAGCUGCAAUAGCUUAUGGACCUGGUGUUUUCUGUGGUUUGGUGAUCGGAUACAUCUUUUCUUCACACAAGCAAGAAUGGUUCGCUGAAAAGUUUGGUCCCAAAAAAAAAAAAAGUCAUAGUCACCCCAAGUGUUCGCUAAACCCAUUUCUUGUAGUCUCUAUGCCUUUGUGAAGCAUUGUGUAACGUCUUGUUCAUAUUUGUAUUGAAUUUUUCAGGUGUGUCCUCCAAAAGACUCGUUUGUGUUGUACUUUUCUAUUGUAUGAGUUGUAAUAAACGUAUAUGGUGGUGUUUAAUACAUCUUGGCUUGUUGCACAUCAGGACUAAUUAAUAGAUGCAGUUUAGAAUUAAAAUCAUUAUUUUUAGUUUUUUUCUUACUUUAGUCAAGGUUAAUGC
Molecule: long non-coding RNA, 483 nt
Organism: Arabidopsis thaliana (thale cress)
Lineage: Eukaryota; Viridiplantae; Streptophyta; Magnoliopsida; Brassicales; Brassicaceae
Product: other RNA
Exons: 1
Source: RefSeq